Molecule: ribosomal RNA, 499 nt
Filed under: uncultured bacterium
Lineage: Bacteria
Description: bacterial SSU rRNA
Rfam family: Bacterial small subunit ribosomal RNA
Source: RNAcentral
AGAGUUUGAUCCUGGCUCAGGAUGAACGCUAGCGGGAGGCCUAACACAUGCAAGCUGAGCGGUAUUUGUCUUUCGGGACAGAGAGAGCGGCGUACGGGUGCGUAACACGUGUGCAACCUGCCUUUAUCAGGAGGAUAGCCUUUCGAAAGGAAGAUUAAUACUCCAUAAUAUAUUAAUUGGCAUCAAUUGAUAUUGAAAACUCCGGUGGAUAAAGAUGGGCACGCGCAAGAUUAGAUAGUUGGUGAGGUAACGGCUCACCAAGUCGAUGAUCUUUAGGGGGCCUGAGAGGGUGAUCCCCCACACUGGUACUGAGACACGGACCAGACUCCUACGGGAGGCAGCAGUGAGGAAUAUUGGACAAUGGGUUAGCGCCUGAUCCAGCCAUCCCGCGUGAAGGAUUAAGGACCUAUGGUUUGUAAACUUCUUUUGUACAGGGAUAAACCUACCCUCGUGAGGGUAGCUGAAGGUACUGUACGAAUAAGCACCGGCUAACUCCGUG